CGGACGGGUGAGUAAUGUCUGGGAAACUGCCUGAUGGAGGGGGAUAACUACUGGAAAGGUAGCUAAUACCGCAUAACGUCGCAAGACCAAAGAGGGGGACCUUCGGGCCUCUUGCCAUCGGAUGUGCCCAGAUGGGAUUAGCUAGUAGGUGGGGUAACGGCUCACCUAGGCGACGAUCCCUAGCUGGUCUGAGAGGAUGACCAGCCACACUGGAACUGAGACACGGUCCAG
Molecule: ribosomal RNA, 231 nt
Filed under: uncultured bacterium
Lineage: Bacteria
Description: partial 16S ribosomal RNA
Rfam family: Bacterial small subunit ribosomal RNA
Source: RNAcentral